UUUUAGUUUACCCUUAUUUGAUAGUUCUUCCACCGACCAUGUUCAUGCCAUUUGUAGUAUUGAUGGAAUUGAUCUUACAUGUAAUACACAACCAUAAGAUGUACAAAUGGAUGAUGCUAUACAUGUUUCUUCCCUAUUAGUAUGUGUUAUUCAUCCGAAAAAAACAACUUGUAUCAAUAUGAGACUUUGUGCUAUGAUAGACCCGAGAAGGGUAGUUGCAA
RNAcentral lists this long non-coding RNA (221 nucleotides) under Ricinus communis (castor bean). RNAcentral's name for it is "long non-coding RNA (RCOM_LNC000617)". The record is from RNAcentral. Lineage: Eukaryota; Viridiplantae; Streptophyta; Magnoliopsida; Malpighiales; Euphorbiaceae.